GAUGAACGCUGGCGGCGUGCCUAAUACAUGCAAGUCGAGCGAACAGACGAGGAGCUUGCUCCUCUGACGUUAGCGGCGGACGGGGGAGUAACACGGGGAUAACCUACCUAUAAGACUGGGAUAACGUCGGGAAACCGGAGCUAAUACCGGAUAAUAUAUUGAACCGCAUGGUUCAAUAGUGAAAGACGGUUUUGCUGUCACUUAUAGAUGGAUCCGCGCCGCAUUAGCUAGUUGGUAAGGUAACGGCUUACCAAGGCAACGAUGCGUAGCCGACCUGAGAGGGUGAUCGGCCACACUGGAACUGAGACACGGUCCAGACUCCUACGGGAGGCAGCAGUAGGGAAUCUUCCGCAAUGGGCGAAAGCCUGACGGAGCAACGCCGCGUGAGUGAUGAAGGUCUUCGGAUCGUAAAACUCUGUUAUUAGGGAAGAACAAAUGUGUAAGUAACUAUGCACGUCUUGACGGUACCUAAUCAGAAAGCCACGGCUAACUACGUG
This 497-nucleotide ribosomal RNA is filed under the name uncultured bacterium. RNAcentral's name for it is "partial 16S ribosomal RNA". It matches the Rfam family "Bacterial small subunit ribosomal RNA", at positions 28 to 507 of the family's 1533-position model. The record is from RNAcentral.